CUUUACUGUAGCUUUGUAUUGGACUUUGAACAGAUCUGUGUAGGAUAGGUGGGAGGCUUUGAAGCUAGAACGCUAGUUCUAGUGGAGCCGGCGUUGAAAUACCACCCUGGUGUGUUUGAGGUUCUAACCCAGAUCCCUUAUCGGGAUCGGGGACAGUGCAUGGUAGGCAGUUUGACUGGGGCGGUCUCCUCCCAAAGUGUAACGGAGGAGUUCGAAGGUACGCUAGGUACGGUCGGACAUCGUGCUCAUAGUGCAAUGGCAUAAGCGUGCUUAACUGCGAGACUGACAAGUCGAGCAGAUGCGAAAGCAGGACAUAGUGAUCCGGUGGUUCUGUAUGGAAGGGCCAUCGCUCAACGGAUAAAAGGUA
RNAcentral lists this ribosomal RNA (367 nucleotides) under uncultured organism. RNAcentral's name for it is "bacterial LSU rRNA". It matches the Rfam family "Bacterial large subunit ribosomal RNA", at positions 2099 to 2465 of the family's 2925-position model. The record is from RNAcentral.